Molecule: unclassified non-coding RNA, 935 nt
Filed under: Veillonella parvula
Lineage: Bacteria; Bacillati; Bacillota; Negativicutes; Veillonellales; Veillonellaceae
Description: partial contains 16S ribosomal RNA, 16S-23S ribosomal RNA intergenic spacer, and 23S ribosomal RNA
Rfam family: Bacterial large subunit ribosomal RNA (bases 827-935)
Source: RNAcentral
UCGGAAGGUGCGGCUGGAUCACCUCCUUUCUAGGGAGACAUACACCAGGCCAAGAGCUUGGAUGUCACUUAGGUCGACACUUUGGCACCUAACAUUGUUCGGUUUUGAGAGAUCUGUAAAGACUCUCAAUCUACAGAUAUGGGCCUAUAGCUCAGCUGGUUAGAGCGCACGCCUGAUAAGCGUGAGGUCGGUGGUUCGAGUCCACCUGGGCCCACCAGUUGGCUCAUAUAACUCGAAAUACACGUUUGUGUAGAGUACAGACACUAAGAGCUAAAUAUUUUGGAAAAGCUUAUAAAAGAUAACGGAUUCUUCGGAAUGGAUUAUCGAGACUUAAGUGGACCAUCAUGGGGGCGUAGCUCAGUUGGGAGAGCACCUGCCUUGCAAGCAGGGGGUCAGGAGUUCGAAUCUCCUCGUCUCCACCAUUUAGUAUUUGACAGCUAGUCUGUUAUUUACUAAAAUAACAAAGCUAUCUUAGAUAGCAACAUAUGAUGCAUGAAUCGCGAGAUUUAUGUCAGAAUAUUGUUCUUUGAAAACUGCAUAGAAGAUAAUUAUAUAUAUUUGUAAGGUCAUCUCUUAGAAUUUCUAAGUAGGUUGACCCGAGCACAUAGGAAAUAAUUCUCUGACUUAAUGGUGACGUACAUGUGAAAUGUACGGCUACAAAAUAAACGACAAUGUAUCUAAUGCAUGUCUAAAAAUCGUAAUGAUUUUCAUCAGAAUUUGAUGGAUAUCGAGGCGUACCAGUGAAGCGAAAUCGCAACGUAUUUAUAUACGUAAGAUGAGCUGAACGCAGUACAACGAAGAUAGCCGCAAAUUAUGAUGUAAAAUAAGUAAAGAUUUUAAGGGCGUACGGUGGAUGCCUUGGCGAUAUCAGCCGAAGAAGGACGCGGUAAGCUGCGAUAAGCUACGGAGAGAUGCAAGCAAUCUUUGACCCGUAG